Molecule: ribosomal RNA, 424 nt
Filed under: uncultured bacterium
Lineage: Bacteria
Description: bacterial SSU rRNA
Rfam family: Bacterial small subunit ribosomal RNA
Source: RNAcentral
UCGAGAAUCUUCGGCAAUGGGCGAAAGCCUGACCGAGCGACGCCGCGUGAGGGAUUGAAGGCCUUCGGGUUGUAAACCUCUUUCGUAGAGGAGGAAGGGGCUGUGAAGAACAGUCCUUGACCUAUUCUAGGAAGAAGCUUGGGCUAAGUUCGUGCCAGCAGCCGCGGUAAGACGAACCAAGCGAACGUUAUUCGGAAUUACUGGGCUUAAAGCGCGUGUAGGCGGACUACCACGUCGGUCGUUGAAAUCCCCCGGCUUAACCGGGGAACUGGCGCCGAUACGAGUAGUCUGGAGGUGGGUAGGGGAGACUGGAACUUCCGGUGGAGCGGUGAAAUGCGUUGAGAUCGGAAGGAACGCCCGCGGCGAAAGCGAGUCUCUGGACCCAAACUGACGCUGAGACGCGAAAGCCAGGGGAGCAAACGGG